Long non-coding RNA from Eucalyptus grandis, 2907 nucleotides. RefSeq lists it as uncharacterized. The record is from RefSeq and is a predicted model, not a curated record. The transcript has 7 exons. NCBI's taxonomy places the organism in Eukaryota, Viridiplantae, Streptophyta, Magnoliopsida, Myrtales, Myrtaceae.
ACGUAUACAGGCCUGUCAUUGCUGUCUUACCAGCAUGCUAGAAGCCAGGAAAUAGUGUGACCCGCGUAACGUUAAGUCACCGCAUUUGGGGGUGGGUUACAAUCUUUUCACUUUCAUUCUUCUGUCUUUUUCAAAUUGUUUCAAGUGAAUGAGUCAUUUUAGCGACACUUCCUUCAUUGCCCUCACGGAAAUGACGAAAUCACCGGACGUGACACCGAAAAUGCCCGCCGACAGAGCAAGAGCCCGAGGUCGAAUCAGGAAAAUUCGCAAAUCCGUCGUCCUCUCCUUCCCUUCCCCCUACCUCACCGAAAAACAAAAGCUCGCCGUAGCUUUCGAUCGCCAUCCGCCGCGAAAAUCGCUAUGGAGUCCACAAACGCUGCGAAGACCAGGAUUCGAGGGUUGAAUUCAAGCAAUACGGAAGAAGACCGCAAUUGAUCUCUCCACCUCGCCAGGCGAUCGCGCCAUUUUAAUUGUGUGAGAUUGGAAUUAUGUUGUUGCUCGGCAGAAUGUGGAGUUGAGGGUGAUGGUUGUUCUGAAGUGCUUCAUUGCCGCGGGUGGGGAUGAGAGAACUCAGAGUGAGGUCCAAGGCUUGUAAAGCUGUUUACAAUUGCACUCUUGCCAUGACAUUGGCGGAGUAUGCAUCAGCUGUUUAAUGUCAGAUUUGACAGAACUUAGUAGUUGGACUUGUCCUAGAUGUGAUGGAAAGACCAAGGCAUAUGUUGGGGUGGCCAAGGAUCUUAAUGCUGUGAUUAUAGCUUUUAGAGGUGCACAAGAACAUAGCAUACAGAAUUGGGUUGAAGAUCUCUACUGGAUAGUGGAAACAGCUUAACGUACUACCCGGGCAUGCAUGGUGCCCUGGAUAGCUCUAAAGAUGAUAUGCCUCUUGCAAGCUGUGGAUUCUUCUCGGUUGGAUUGAGUUACAGUCUUACUCUAUUGAUGUCCCCUUGUCUUGAUAUGACAAUUCAACCCGAUAGGAUGCUGUUAUAAGAACCAAGGAUUUAUAAGGGGACAUCAAUGUCAUGGUGACAGAGUAUUCUAUGGGAGGGGCUAUGGCAUCCUUUUGCGGAAUUGAUCUUGUGUGUUUGCAUCUUACUACAGUGUUUGCAUACCAAAAACAUUACGUAUUCCUCCUGGACAAGAUUUUUGUCUUAUUUGCCUCCGUACUAUUUUUGGUUCCCACAGAAGACGUACCAUCAAUUCCCUAGAGUGGUAUGGUGUUGAUCUUGACAGAAUAUCAAAUAAAUUAUGGGGAAUUGUUGAUGACUGAAUUUGAGGUUUGCUUUGCAUGUCUUUCAACCUGUCUAACAAGUGAAGUAUCAUAUAUUCCGGCAUUCUACGUACUCUUUUUGUUCAGCUUAUACAUUAUGACUGUCUUGUUUGUUUUUCUUCUUAACAAAGCAGGGUAGUUUGUAGGACUCAUUACGUUAUAAAUUUUUUUUUGAGUAACUCUCAUUCUUGCAAAAGCCAUCAUGAGUUUUUCAUAUCGAUUCAAAAGUUUAAGACACAUAAUAAUGUUUAUUAUACUCUCUCUCUCUCUCUCUCUCUCUCUCUCUCUCUCUUACACACACACACACAAUGUAUGUCUACUAAUGCGUAUAAUUAUUAGUGACUAGCUCAAAGAUAGCCACGGUUGAACAUAUUAAUGUGAGAUGAAAAUGAUUUGAUUCCACCUGCUUCUCUACUAACUAAUCAUACUCGUAACGGUUUUCAUGUAAUUGGAGUCUUCCCUUUAUUGUAGGUAUGGCUAUAUAACAUAGGAUUUAGUAGUUAUCAGGUUGAUAAAGUUUGUGAUACCUCAGGAGAAGAUGCAUCAUGCAGCAAGUGAUGAGCUAAUUUCAGUCGAAGCUACUUGUUCAAACAAUUAUUUUGUGGAUUUAUCAUGCAAGAUGCAAUAAGUCGUGAUGGACCAGCUUGUUCUAGAGAAUGUCUGUCCUUUGUUACUAGGAAUAUUUGUGGACAACUGAUCAGGGUAUUUUCCUGCAGAUUGGUACCGGUAACAGCAUUGUGGACCAUUUAGUCUUUCUAUAGUGUGCAAUUAGUGGCUAAGACAUGAGAAUCGUGCAAAAUCGUCAUGGACACUAUUGACGGAAUGUGGAAGCGAAGAUGUCAAAGGUAGAUGUGUAAAUGUUGCAACUGUGACACUUGCAUGGUUAGGCAAUUAACCGGUUUUUAUAAGGUGAAACAAAGACUGCGUUCACAGACCACUUCUCAAUCUAUGACACCUUACCUUCUCUUACAGGCACAUUGGCACAUAAGAUUUCUUGGCAGAACUAAGUACUUCAACUAUUUCCUCGUAGGGAAUUGUGCAGAUGAACUGUUAAAUCAAACCAUCUCGGAGACAGAUGAUGACUUUUGUCUUGCAUCAUUUCCACUGGCAACCUUUGCAAAAUUUUUACUCUUAGGAGGAAUUAACAUUAGUGGAAACCUGGAAAGUAAAAAACUUGGGGGGAAACUUCUGCCACUGAUAAGAAGGGAAACAGAACUGAAAUUAGAUGUCUUGCUGACAGGUACCUGUUCAAAACGUCAAAAGUGAGCAUUACCAAAGUGCUAAGUAAGCUCAUGGUGCUACACAAGUCAGGUCUAAAGUACAAUGCCAAAUGUUUACUAAUGUUUCAAAGAUCCAAUCUAGUUCAAAAGCAGAUACUCAACCAGGUCAGCCAAGCCACAUCCCAAAUUGCACAGAAAAUUCGGGUGAAUUACAUUUUGCGGCCAAGUUUUUGGCAUAAUGGCAAGCUACCCAUGAUGUUUCAAGUUUUGCAUCCUAGACUUUUUGAAAUUGGACACCAUGUGCAGCAAAAUGUUCUCGUAAAUCUGACCACGUGAUUGCCCGUGACUAGUUAUUGGACAUAUAUCAUCUAUAUAUGUGGGGAAAAAAACAGGGACUACCCAAAAGCAUAUUUUAAAACU